RNAcentral lists this ribosomal RNA (406 nucleotides) under uncultured bacterium. RNAcentral describes it as "partial 16S ribosomal RNA". It matches the Rfam family "Bacterial small subunit ribosomal RNA", at positions 30 to 526 of the family's 1533-position model. The record is from RNAcentral.
AUUGAACGCUGGCGGCAUGCUUUACACAUGCAAGUCGAACGAGUGGCGCACGGGUGAGUAACGCAUCGGAACGUACCGAGUAGUGGGGGAUAACUGUCCGACAGUACCUCUAAUCCCGCAUAUUCUUCUAGCGCCCGAUGUCUGAUUAGCUGGUUGGCGGGGUAAAGGCCCACCAAGGCGACGAUCAGUAGCGGGUCUGAGAGGAUGAUCCGCCACACGGGGACUGAGACACGGCCCAGACUCCUACGGGAGGCAGCAGUGGGGAAUUUUGGACAAUGGGCGCAAGCCUGAUCCAGCCAUGCCGCGUGUGUGAAGAAGGCCUUCGGGUUGUAAAGGACUUUUGGCAGGGAAGCGGUACCUGAAGAAGAAGCACCGGCUAACUACGUGCCAGCAGCCGCGGUAAUUC